Echinops telfairi (small Madagascar hedgehog) is the source of this 93-nucleotide small nucleolar RNA. RefSeq annotates it as small nucleolar RNA SNORD91 family. The transcript has a single exon. The record is from RefSeq and is a predicted model, not a curated record. NCBI's taxonomy places the organism in Eukaryota, Metazoa, Chordata, Mammalia, Afrosoricida, Tenrecidae.
CUUAGAAACCAGUGAUGUUAAUAACCAGAAUGUCUGAACCUGUCUGAAGCAUCCGAGUGAUGCCAUCGAUAUGGUGCUGAGGUUUCCUUGCCA